GAAGGACUUUCCAGGGAGUGGCAAACGCUGGGAAACCCCAUUCACAGCGUUUAAAAACAGCGCAGAGCAAAACACUGGCAGUGUUACAAUGAAGUCCUCACUACACACUCUCCCUGCUCUUCUGGCUCUGGGAAUCUGCAUCCACUUCACAGUUCAGAGUGCAGACAGUCAGUAUGUUCCGAACCGCUGUGCCUGUCUAAAAUCCAGGAACGGAGUCCAGGGACCAUUUUCAGAUUUCUCAGUCACCUUAAAAAGACCUGGCUGUAUGAAAGACGAGAUCAUAGUGAUACUGAAGGAGGAAAACCGAAAGGUGUGUCUAAGCCCUCAUGGACCUCAAGGCAAAAGACUAUUGAAAUGCUGGCACAGAAAACAGGAGGAAGGCAACAAUGGGAAGACAUGCAUGGGAAGACUCAGACCACGGCGACAGAGAAAGCAGCGUACCAAAUCCAAGAUGAUCAAAAGAUAAUCAGUGCAGCACGAUGGCAGCUAAUGUCAUCCCGAAAACACACUACUGAAGUACACUCCAAAUACUUCAACAGCCUUCAACAGCUUCAGUAGCUUUUAUGAGCUACAUGUAGCAGUGUGAUUGUUUUACAACCUUUAUGUACAGGGCUGGCCCCAGUCGUAACUAGUUAAAAUAUAGCAAAGAGGUCAUGUUUCAAUCACAUACUAUCACUGCCAGUUUUAGUAGGAUUUAUGAGAGAAGUGGAAUAUAUUUUGCACACUGUUUGUACAUUUUUUUAAAUCUAAUUUUUGUAUGUAUAUAGAUUUUUUAUAUUAAAUUAAAAAAAAAAAAAAACAACAAACAAGUAAAAGAGCCACGUUUCAUUUUUCUAACUUCAUUAUUAUUGCAUGCAUAUCACAAUAAAUAGUCAACAGUGAGUGUGGACCUGGUUAUAAUGUUAUAAUCUUCAAGUCAGAAAGCUUAGACUUUAACCAUCGUUUGGUAAUUCAUUCAUUUAUUAAUCUCCAGUUACAGCUUUAUCAGUGCACCUGGAUGGGACUCUAGUUUAUUGCAGACCAUCACUCACAUCUUCACACAUACCGGAUAUUUGCAGUAAUCAAUCUACCUAUUGACAUGAUUUUGGGAAGACAAACAAUUAGAAAACCACACAGACAGGAAGAAAACAUGCAAAAAAACUGCUUAUACAUUAACCAGACGCUGUCUCUACAGUUCUAUUUUCCAUGACAUAGUAAUUUUGCAAUAAUUUUACUGCAUUUGUUAUUGCUGCCUGUUGUUUUGAAAAGUGACAUGAAAAAAAUUCUUUUAUAUCUAAUUGCAGGUGACACACCAAGAUAUACUGUAUAUAGCAGAGUAUAAAACUGAUUUAGUUACUUUAAAGUGAAUCCUCUUUAUUCUUGCCGCUUCUGUUUUGGCCAGACAAUGACGCCCUUCUCAAGAAUGACUGCCUCUGAUGGGUUAAUAUUUAACAAGCUAACAGUGAAUUCAUGUUUAAAGAUCUCAAGAGCUUUUAGCGAAUACUAGAAAUCAUGUGACAUAGUUCUAAAUAUGGGCAGGCAGAAAGAAAAGGGGGGAUGGCGAAGAGAGGCAUACCUCUUCCAGCAAACACAUGCACAGAUUCCUUUCACUGCAACUGCAGCUAACAUGGCCUUCAGGAGUGUGCAAGGGACUUUAACCCCACUGCUACUUAUCUUUUGCUUAAACAUCCUCACAGAUGAGAAGACAGAAGCAGUAAACAUUCGGGAGAAAUGUUUGUGCAUCAGAGAGACUGAUACUGUAUUAUGGAGACGCAUGAUGGACUUCAACGUGAUUGAUUCA
Molecule: RNA transcript, 1780 nt
Organism: Pangasianodon hypophthalmus (striped catfish)
Lineage: Eukaryota; Metazoa; Chordata; Actinopteri; Siluriformes; Pangasiidae
Gene: cxcl18a.1
Gene name: chemokine (C-X-C motif) ligand 18a, duplicate 1
Exons: 5
Source: RefSeq, a predicted model, not a curated record